UUCCUGGUGGUCCAGUGGUUAGGACUUGGAGCUCUCACUGCCGGGACCCUAGGUUCAGUCCCGGGUCGGGGAACUA
This 76-nucleotide transfer RNA is filed under the name Cervus elaphus hippelaphus. Its description in RNAcentral is "tRNA-Glu". The record is from RNAcentral. Lineage: Eukaryota; Metazoa; Chordata; Mammalia; Artiodactyla; Cervidae.